AUGUCCAUAGCGUCAUACGUGUCCUUGUCAUGUCACACACAUGUCUAUAGUGUCUUAUGUGUGUCCUCAUCAUGUCACACGCGUGUCCUUAACAUGUCACACGCGUGUCCUUGCUGUGUUACACACAUGUCCAUUGGUAACACACGCGUGUCCUUGUCAUGCCACAUGUCUGUCCUUGUCAUGUCAUACACGUGUCCUUGCUGUGUUACACAUGUCCACUGUAUCACACGCAUGUCCAUUGGUAUCACACGUGUGUCCUUAUCAUGUCACACGCGUGUCCUUGCCGUGCCACACACAUGUCCAUUGUGUCACACGCGUGUCCAUUGUGUCAUACGUGUCCUUGUCAUGUCACACACGUGUCCUUCUCAUGUUAGACGCAUGUCCAUAGUGUCACACGUGUGUCCUUGUCAUCUUACACACAUGCCCACUGUGUCAUACGUGUCCUUGUCAUGUCACACGUGUGUCCUUGUCAUGUCACACGCAUGUCCAUUGUAUCACACACAUGUCCAUUGUGUCACACGCGUGUCCUUGUCAUGUCACACGCGUGUCUUUCUCAUGUUAGACGCAUGUCCAUUGACAUCACACACGUGUUGUUGCCAUGUCACACGCGUGUCGUUGCCGUGUUACACAUGUCCAUUGCAUGACACAUGUGUCCUUGUCAUGUCACACACAUGUCCAUUGUAUUACACACACAUGUCCAUUGUAUGACACGCGUGUCCUUGUCAUGUCACACGCGUGUCGUUGCCGUGUCACACGCGUGUCCUUGUCAUGUCACACACAUGUCCAUUGUAUUACACGUGUCCAUUGUAUCACACACAUGUCCAUUGUAUGACACGCGUGUCCUUGUCAUGUCACACGCGUGUCGUUGCCGUAUUACACAUGUCCAUUGUAUGACACGUGUGUUGUUGCCAUGUCCCACGCGUGUUGUUGCCGUGUCACACACAUGUUGUUGCCGUGUUACACGCGUGUUGUUGCCGUGUUACACGCGUAUGCUCCCCCCGUGUUCCAUGUUGGUGUUUCCCGUGUCUCCCAUUGGCGGCUCCACGUCCCCGUCGUCAGACACAGGAUCCUCUGGGGGCACAAAGGGGGGAAAUCAAUGGGGCUGCCCCAUAGCGGAGCCCUAUAGGGAUCCCUGCCCCAUAGCGUAGCCCUACAGGGAUCCCUGACCCAUAGCAGAGCCCUAUAGGGAUCCCUGCCCCAUAGCGGAGCCCUAUAGGGAUCCCUGCCCCAUAGCGGAGCCCUAUAGGGAUCCCUGCCC
This 1258-nucleotide long non-coding RNA is filed under the name Coturnix japonica (Japanese quail). RNAcentral describes it as "lncRNA (ENSCJPG00005006663.1)". Lineage: Eukaryota; Metazoa; Chordata; Aves; Galliformes; Phasianidae. The record is from RNAcentral.